RNAcentral lists this ribosomal RNA (465 nucleotides) under Vreelandella stevensii. Its description in RNAcentral is "partial 16S ribosomal RNA". It matches the Rfam family "Bacterial small subunit ribosomal RNA", at positions 338 to 795 of the family's 1533-position model. The record is from RNAcentral. Lineage: Bacteria; Pseudomonadati; Pseudomonadota; Gammaproteobacteria; Oceanospirillales; Halomonadaceae.
CCUACGGGAGGCAGCACUGGGGAAUAUUGGACAAUGGGGGGAACCCUGAUCCAGCCAUGCCGCGUGUGUGAAGAAGGCCCUCGGGUUGUAAAGCACUUUCAGUGAGGAAGAACGCCUGGUGGUUAAUACCCAUCAGGAAAGACAGCACUCACAGAAGAAGCACCGGCUAACUCCGUGCCAGCAGCCGCGGUAAUACGGAGGGUGCGAGCGUUAAUCGGAAUUACUGGGCGUAAAGCGCGCGUAGGUGGCGUGAUAAGCCGGUUGUGAAAGCCCCGGGCUCAACCUGGGAACGGCAUCCGGAACUGUCAAGCUAGAGUGCAGGAGAGGAAGGUAGAAUUCCCGGUGUAGCGGUGAAAUGCGUAGAGAUCGGGAGGAAUACCAGUGGCGAAGGCGGCCUUCUGGACUGACACUGACACUGAGGUGCGAAAGCGUGGGUAGCAAACAGGAUUAGAUACCCUGGUAGUC